RNAcentral lists this ribosomal RNA (379 nucleotides) under uncultured bacterium. RNAcentral describes it as "bacterial SSU rRNA". It matches the Rfam family "Bacterial small subunit ribosomal RNA", at positions 29 to 404 of the family's 1533-position model. The record is from RNAcentral.
AGUGAACGCUGGCGGCAGGCCUAACACAUGCAAGUCGAACGGCAGCACAGGAGAGCUUGCUCUCUGGGUGGCGAGUGGCGGACGGGUGAGGAAUACGUCGGAAUCUGCCUAUUUGUGGGGGAUAACGUAGGGAAACUUACGCUAAUACCGCAUACGACCUACGGGUGAAAGCGGAGGACCUUCGGGCUUCGCGCAGAUAGAUGAGCCGACGUCGGAUUAGCUUGUUGGCGGGGUAAAGGCCCACCAAGGCGACGAUCCGUAGCUGGUCUGAGAGGAUGAUCAGCCACACUGGAACUGAGACACGGUCCAGACUCCUACGGGAGGGCAGCAGUGGGAUAUUGGACAAUGGGCGCAAGCCUGAUCCAGCCAUGCCGCGUGU